This 202-nucleotide long non-coding RNA is filed under the name Brassica rapa (field mustard). RNAcentral describes it as "long non-coding RNA (BRAP_LNC008815)". The record is from RNAcentral. Lineage: Eukaryota; Viridiplantae; Streptophyta; Magnoliopsida; Brassicales; Brassicaceae.
UGCUUGGUUCUCUCAUGGAACACCGAGUUGGAGGCAAUGUGGAUGGCAGCUUGGUUAUCACAAUGCAUAGUCAUUGGCGUGGCUUGAUCAAUCUCUAAAUGCUUCAAUAUACACUUUUGUGUAUUAGAGCAUGAUUCAAAUAAUCAGAGAUAAUCAGAUGAAAAGAUUAAAGAGAUUAAGAGAUUUUAGUGAGAGAAUAAAG